UACGUAGGGGGCAAGCGUUAUCCGGAUUUACUGGGUGUAAAGGGAGCGUAGACGGAUUGGCAAGUCUGAAGUGAAAAUACAGGGCUCAACCCUGUACCUGCUUUGGAAACUGUCGAACUAGAGUACCGGAGGGGCAGGCGGAAUUCCUGGUGUAGCGGUGAAAUGCGUAGAUAUCAGGAAGAACACCGGUGGCGAAGGCGGCCUGCUGGACGGUAACUGACGUUGAGGCUCGAAAGCGUGGGGAGCAAAC
RNAcentral lists this ribosomal RNA (250 nucleotides) under uncultured prokaryote. RNAcentral's name for it is "partial 16S ribosomal RNA". It matches the Rfam family "Bacterial small subunit ribosomal RNA", at positions 524 to 773 of the family's 1533-position model. The record is from RNAcentral.